This 446-nucleotide ribosomal RNA is filed under the name uncultured bacterium. Its description in RNAcentral is "SSU rRNA". It matches the Rfam family "Bacterial small subunit ribosomal RNA", at positions 26 to 518 of the family's 1533-position model. The record is from RNAcentral.
AGAGCGAACGCUGGCGGCAGGCCUAAUACAUGCAAGUCGAACGGAUCCUUCGGGAUUAGUGGCGGACGGGUGAGUAACACGUGGGAACGUGCCCUUUGGUUCGGAACAACUCAGGGAAACUUGAGCUAAUACCGAAUGUGCCCUUCGGGGGAAAGAUUUAUCGCCAUUGGAGCGGCCCGCGUCUGAUUAGCUAGUUGGUGAGGUAAAGGCUCACCAAGGCGACGAUCAGUAGCUGGUCUGAGAGGAUGAUCAGCCACACUGGGACUGAGACACGGCCCAGACUCCUACGGGAGGCAGCAGUGGGGAAUAUUGGACAAUGGGCGAAAGCCUGAUCCAGCCAUGCCGCGUGAGUGAUGAAGGCCUUAGGGUUGUAAAGCUCUUUCAGUGGGGAAGAUAAUGACGGUACCCACAGAAGAAGCCCCGGCUAACUUCGUGCCAGCAGCCGC